RNAcentral lists this transfer RNA (76 nucleotides) under Glaciecola sp. RNAcentral's name for it is "tRNA-Gln". It matches the Rfam family "tRNA". Rfam says of the family: Transfer RNA (tRNA) molecules are approximately 80 nucleotides in length. Their secondary structure includes four short double-helical elements and three loops (D, anti-codon, and T loops). The record is from RNAcentral. Lineage: Bacteria; Pseudomonadati; Pseudomonadota; Gammaproteobacteria; Alteromonadales; Alteromonadaceae.
UGGGGUAUAGCCAAGUUGGUAAGGCAACGGGUUUUGAUCCCGUCAUCCGUAGGUUCGAGUCCUGCUACCCCAGCCA